This 383-nucleotide small RNA is filed under the name Histoplasma capsulatum. Its description in RNAcentral is "hypothetical RNA". Lineage: Eukaryota; Fungi; Ascomycota; Eurotiomycetes; Onygenales; Ajellomycetaceae. RNAcentral also lists the same sequence under 1 other name. The record is from RNAcentral.
AGCUCGCCGGCUGUCACGCAUUUAACAAAGUGAUAUGGCAUUCACUUUUGAAUCCGAUUCCCAGUCUGCCAUCCUUAAAUCGGCCCCUCCACAUUCGACCUAGAUAUACAAAAAUACCAAUUAAUUGAGGUCCCCUUCCUCAUCCCUUUCCAAUACCCCGCACCCCAAUGCCGACUCCAAUCCCCAUCCAAGCCUUCGCCCAAGCCCAAACAGAACUCCUUCUCGCAGAACAUGAAGCCGAAAUUGCCUCCUCACCGCUCUCUGCAUCAAUUGCACAAUCAGAUGGUAUUUCCGCUUCAACACGUCGCACAUUGCAAGCCGCAGGCUAUGCACUCAUAGGCCUUGUUCUCAUCAAUUGUCGGACGGGAAUGGGUGGACGUGAG